CACGUAGUUAGCCGUGGCUUAUUCCUCGAGUACCGUCAGAACUUCUUCCUCGAGAAAGAGGUUACAACCAAGGCCUUAAUCCCUCACGCGGUGUCGCUGGGUCAGGCUUUCGCCCAUUGCCCAAUAUUCCUUG
RNAcentral lists this ribosomal RNA (133 nucleotides) under uncultured bacterium. RNAcentral describes it as "partial 16S ribosomal RNA". The record is from RNAcentral.